This is a long non-coding RNA of Priapulus caudatus, 372 nucleotides long. RefSeq lists it as uncharacterized. The transcript is spliced from 3 exons. The record is from RefSeq and is a predicted model, not a curated record. Lineage: Eukaryota; Metazoa; Priapulida; Priapulimorpha; Priapulimorphida; Priapulidae.
UGCGUGCAUGCGUGCGCGCGUAUGUGUGCAUCUGUAUAUGGAUUCUAACCGUGGUGUGUUGCCGUGUAAGCAUGGAACAGCAUCAGUGACACUCGAUGGAUUGGAACCGUGACAUGGCUGUUUUAGACUGACACUGCAGUGUGAAUUUAAUGUUACUUCUUAGGAGAUUAAUGCGGAGUGACCAGUACUCAUGAUCAUGACCACGGCGAAGUCAUCAGCGUUUAAGCUCGAUGCAAUCUGCAACAAACUCAAGUCGGCGCCACAGCAGCGCCAAGGCGAUGCGCCCGACUCCCUCCAGGGGGCGGCACCGGACGAAAAGCAGCUGCGCAAGAACCGGCGUAAGUGCUCGACGCCGCGGAGCAUCCACCAGAG